Molecule: ribosomal RNA, 464 nt
Filed under: uncultured bacterium
Lineage: Bacteria
Description: bacterial SSU rRNA
Rfam family: Bacterial small subunit ribosomal RNA
Source: RNAcentral
GACGAACGCUGGCGGCGUGCUUAACACAUGCAAGUCGAACGGAAAGGCCCUGCUUGCAGGGUACUCGAGUGGCGAACGGGUGAGUAACACGUGGGUGAUCUGCCCUGCACUUCGGGAUAAGCCUGGGAAACUGGGUCUAAUACCGGAUAGGAACCAUCUUUAGUGUGGUGGUUGGAAAGUUUUUCGGUGUAGGAUGAGCUCGCGGCCUAUCAGCUUGUUGGUGGGGUAAUGGCCUACCAAGGCGGCGACGGGUAGCCGGCCUGAGAGGGUGUACGGCCACAUUGGGACUGAGAUACGGCCCAGACUCCUACGGGAGGCAGCAGUGGGGAAUAUUGCACAAUGGGCGCAAGCCCGAUGCAGCGACGCCGCGUGGGGGAUGAAGGCCUUCGGGUUGUAAACUCCUUUCGCUAGGGACGAAGCUUUUUGUGACGGUACCUAGAUAAGAAGCACCGGCUAACUACGUG